CAGAUAACAGGAAAUGGUGUCUUCCUGACCCAAACCGUCAGCCCAGGGCUGUCUGAUGGCGCCUACAAAUAU
Molecule: non-coding RNA, 72 nt
Filed under: Chitinophaga ginsengisegetis
Lineage: Bacteria; Pseudomonadati; Bacteroidota; Chitinophagia; Chitinophagales; Chitinophagaceae
Description: Fluoride sequence
Rfam family: Fluoride riboswitch aptamer (crcB RNA motif)
Source: Rfam by way of RNAcentral